UCGAGAUUAUGUGUGAAACGCGAC
RNAcentral lists this non-coding RNA (24 nucleotides) under Arabidopsis thaliana (thale cress). The record is from RNAcentral. Lineage: Eukaryota; Viridiplantae; Streptophyta; Magnoliopsida; Brassicales; Brassicaceae.